ACUUAAAGGAAUGGAUGGAAAGGCAUCACCAGGUGUGGAGCCUGAGGCUAAAUUUUACUC
RNAcentral lists this ribosomal RNA (60 nucleotides) under Ailuropoda melanoleuca (giant panda). RNAcentral describes it as "similar to 18S ribosomal RNA". Lineage: Eukaryota; Metazoa; Chordata; Mammalia; Carnivora; Ursidae. The record is from RNAcentral.